CGGUGACGGAGGGCUUGCCCUUCUGAUCAGUGGCGAACGGGUGAGUAACACGUGAGUAACCUGCCCUUCACUCUGGGAUAACGCUGGGAAACCGGUGCUAAUACUGGAUACGACCUACUCGGGCAUCCGAUGUGGGUGGAAAGAUUUAUUGGUGGAGGAUGGACUCGCGGCCUAUCAGCUUGUUGGUGAGGUAAUGGCUCACCAAGGCGACGACGGGUAGCCGGCCUGAGAGGGCGAUCGGCCACACUGGGACUGAGACACGGCCCAGACUCCUACGGGAGGCAGCAGUGGGGAAUAUUGCACAAUGGGCGAAAGCCUGAUGCAGCGACGCCACGUGAGGGAUGAAGGCCUUCGGGUUGUAAACCUCUUUCAGCACGGAAGAGGCAGCCGGGUUUUCUUGGUCGUGACGGUACCUGCAGAAGAAGCACCGGCUAACUACGUGCCAGCAGCCGCGGUAAUACGUAGGGUGCAAGCGCUGUCCGGAAUUAUUGGGCGUAAAGAGCUUGUAGGCGGUUUGUCGCGUCUGCUGUGAAAUUUCGGGGCUCAACCCCGAACUUGCAGUGGGUACGGGCAGACUAGAGUGUGGUAGGGGAGACUGGAAUUCCUGGUGUAGCGGUGAAAUGCGCAGAUAUCAGGAGGAACACCGAUGGCGAAGGCAGGUCUCUGGGCCACUACUGACGCUGAUAAGCGAAAGCAUGGGGAGCG
This 705-nucleotide ribosomal RNA is filed under the name uncultured bacterium. RNAcentral's name for it is "bacterial SSU rRNA". It matches the Rfam family "Bacterial small subunit ribosomal RNA", at positions 67 to 770 of the family's 1533-position model. The record is from RNAcentral.